UGGGAAUCCUACUGUGGUAGCUUAUUGGGU
RNAcentral lists this non-coding RNA (30 nucleotides) under Homo sapiens (human). The record is from RNAcentral. Lineage: Eukaryota; Metazoa; Chordata; Mammalia; Primates; Hominidae.